CUGAUGGUGAAGAAGACGCGGUCCCCAGGGACGGCGCUGGAGGGGCCCAUGCGGAAAAUCACGGCCGGCACUUGGAUGGUGGUGGGGAAAGAGAGGUCAGUGAAAGAGAACCAAUGGGACUUUCCUGAGAUCCCACAACAAAUGAGUAGCGGUGUCUGCACUGGAACCCAGAUCUCCCGAGACCCCCCCAGUGUGCCUCCCACAUGGCUCAUGCUGCUUCCCAGAAGGAAGCCUCUAAGGAGGAGUUGGGAAGUCAGGGGCGCCCCCGCGGAUGCCGGGAGGCAGCCCUUGCUGCCUGCGCGGAGGGAGCUCGGGCUGGUUUACAAAAGAGCUCUUUUCGGUUUGCCGGUGGUACUGCAUGCGAGAGCACGGCGAGAGAGAGGGGACACUGGCAUCCCAGAAGACCCCAGAGAACCCCCGUCCUCCAUCCCCUCACUUAACAACCAGGGUCUGCUUUAGGAAACAUCCAACCCCAGGUAUAGAAAGGGACGAGAAAUGGAAAGAGAAAAAGAAAAGGAGCAACGAGAGGGAACAUGGAUGGGGAGGGCUCCCCAGCACCUUUCACAUGAGCAUUUAUUAAGCACCUACUGUCCACAGGACUCUGGAGGGCACAGAAUCAGAAGCCACUGGCCCCUCCUACCUGCAAGAGGAUGACCCUCCAGCCAGGAAGAUGCAAAUGUGGUGACUCAGACACCUCAUAUUUCACUAUGACUGAAAGCCCACAAACAUCCCCACGAUAACCCUCUGAGGGGAGGAGGGCAGGGAGCACCGCACCCCUUUUCAUAAAUAAAGAAAUUGAGGCUCUGAGAGGGAAGGUCACAAAGGAACAAAAA
Molecule: long non-coding RNA, 833 nt
Organism: Antechinus flavipes (yellow-footed antechinus)
Lineage: Eukaryota; Metazoa; Chordata; Mammalia; Dasyuromorphia; Dasyuridae
Exons: 2
Source: RefSeq, a predicted model, not a curated record